This 375-nucleotide ribosomal RNA is filed under the name uncultured organism. RNAcentral describes it as "partial 16S ribosomal RNA". It matches the Rfam family "Bacterial small subunit ribosomal RNA", at positions 527 to 896 of the family's 1533-position model. The record is from RNAcentral.
GUAGGUGGCAAGCGUUGUCCGGAAUUAUUGGGCGUAAAGCGCGCGCAGGCGGUUCUUUAAGUCUGAUGUGAAAGCCCACGGCUCAACCGUGGAGGGUCAUUGGAAACUGGAGAACUUGAGUACAGAGGAGGAAAGCGGAAUUCCACGUGUAGCGGUGAAAUGCGUAGGGAUGUGGAGGAACACCAGUGGCGAAGGCGGCUUUCUGGUCUGUAACUGACGCUGAGGCGCGAAAGCGUGGGGAGCAAACAGGGAUUAGAUACCCUGGUAGUCCACGCCGUAAACGACGAGUGCUAAGUGUUAGGGGGUUUCCCGCCCCCCUUAGUGCUGCAGCUAACGCAUUAAGCACUCCGCCUGGGGAGUACGGCCGCAAGGCUG